Alligator sinensis (Chinese alligator) is the source of this 2313-nucleotide long non-coding RNA. RefSeq lists it as uncharacterized. Lineage: Eukaryota; Metazoa; Chordata; Crocodylia; Alligatoridae. The transcript is spliced from 3 exons. The record is from RefSeq and is a predicted model, not a curated record.
UCUCCCGGCCCGGCCCGGCCCGGCCCCUGGGCAGGCGGGCGGCGCGGGCUGUGCUUCUUCCUCGGUCACAUCGCAGGAGCCCCGGGACUGGGUGUGAAAAGAAACACUAGACACCAGCUACCACAAAGGCUACAGGCCAGUGGACCAUCGCCAGGAAAUCUGAGGUUAAGGUCAAUGGCAGUGACGCGACUGUCGAUGUUACUUACUGGAGUGGCGACUGGAAUGUCACAAAUGGCAGAAUCCAGGUUGAAUGUGAUGGCUUGUAUCUGGUGUUCCUGCAAGGAGGGCUCAGUUUCUAUCAUAAUGCCUUCCUGACCCUCACAGUUUACGAUAAAGACAACAAUACCAUCUUGAAGCUGGAAGAGAAGGAAGAAAGGAACAUAUAUUUGGUCACAGCAUUACGUCUGCUUAGUCCUAAUAAUAUUUAUCUGAAUGCCAGUGGCCAGGCCACUCUUCAUCAUUUAUCACUGGGCCUUGUCUUGCUGUCUCCACCCAAUUACUGCACUGACAGAAAAAGGAUUAAAUAUUAACAUGCAAAGAAAGACCCCUUUCUGACAAACUACAAAUCUGAACCCACCACUAGCACAAACACAGGAUUGUAUUCAUUAGGCUAUACAUGUACAAGAAGCCUGAAACUGGGGUCUCAGGCCUGUGCUAUGUCUGAGUGAGAGGGUUCUCCUGGCUAGUGCAAACAAGUCAAUAUGCAAAUAGUCUUUAUUCAAUAUCUGCCAUGUUCAUCUCUUUGGGGCCCACUCUCCAAGAUGGAUCUAUCGGACUUGGGAGAGGGUCCGUGAUACUGUCAAGAAGAAUGAAGGUGAGAGCAUAGAAAGUUAUUGAUGCUUGGUUCAUAGUCAAAGGAAUCCUGGCUUCCCUAUUUAUUUGAUGAUAUUUGUAUAUACUUGAAAGCUUUGCACACUUGCCGGAAAAGGAAUCAGUUAAAUCAAGAAUGGACCUGAUAUUUUUACAGUUACCUGAGCAAAGUGGAGAUGAUAGAGAUCAACCUAGGAAACAACAUUUUUGCCUAGCUGCGAGGAGGAAAAAGAUCAUGGGGAGGGUUUCCCUUCCAGUGAUCCUGAGAUAUGUUUCUUGGAAGCUCAGGAAAUGGAAGAAAAGAGGUGUUUGGAAGUUUAAAAUGGAGACUCAUGGUAAUGAGCACAGAGCUGUUUAAGAAUGGCUUUUCAGACAGAAAGAGACUAUGAGAAAUGCAGUUUCUAAUUAUUUGCAAAUUCUGUGGCAUAAGUGAUGUGGGAAUAUUUGAGAUAAUACUAGGAGGGACUGAUGUCAGGAAUUCAAGAUAUCAACUGGAGAAGAAUCCCAGCUUCUCCCCUCUCCUCUUCCAUAUGCAUGCAUACACAUGAUCACAUACACAUAUACAUACAUACUAGACUUGAACCAAGAUCCAGGUGCCUAAACUUUAGAAGAUGUUGGAAGAAGCUCCUAACUCCUUGCGCAGGCUCUCUGGGUUCCAACGAACAAAUCAAAUCUUUGGUUCUGAACAUCUUCAAAUUUGGGAGGGUUCAAAUUUGUGAAAGUCUAGUCCAGUGAGCCUAUCACAUACAUGCAUACACACACUCCGUUAUGCAGUUGUACACACACACAUCCAUAGACAGCCUCUUCCUGACUUCAGUGGGCUUGUGACUCCUGUUCUCAUUUGACUAUGGGUGUGGAAGAUAAGGACAGUUUUUCCAGGGUUAAAGUGCCAUUUUUGAUUUGGAUGCAUGUAGUACCCUAGCCCAUUGAAAUGUAAAAACAUUUAUUUUAAGGUGGGUUUGAAUGAGUGAUUUGUUUGCAUCAAUGAGCAGAGCUCUGAUGUAAAUGUGGGGCAGGGGAAAUAUAUAUUGCAGACUUGAGUCUCACUCGUUGGGAGGAGAGGGCUGCAACGUACCCCUCCCAGAAUAAGUGAAGACAGAUGAGCUUGCAAGGAGGAGGAAGGGGAAGGGGACAAAACCUAAUUGAUGAUAGAUAUAGUCAGUUAAUAUAUUGUUAUUCUAGGCAUAUAGUGAAAUAGCUUUCAAAGGCAACAAUAAAAGUUAGGCACAUAAUUCCCCAGUGGAAUUAAGCAACUUACUGCUGUUUGUACUUGUGACCAUCUAUGUUUAAAGUAUUUAUGUAUUUAUAUUACAGGUAUGAAACUGGAUAAUUUUGUAUUUAGUAAAAGAACACUGGGCAGAUUUUAGAUUGCAAGAGAUUUCCCCCUCCUAAAUCCUUAUUUGUAGACACUUAAAACCUAAAACUUCUUUUUCAAACAGAAAGUUUCCAGGCCUGGUCUUUCCCAAACACAUUUAUAAAACCUGAACAGAAAUGGUUCAUUUG